GAUGAACGCUGACAGAAUGCUUAACACAUGCAAGUCAACUUGAACUUCGGUUUGGGUGGCGGACGGGUGAGUAACGCGUAAAGAACUUGCCUCACAGAUAGGGACAACAUUUGGAAACGAAUGCUAAUACCUGAUAUUAUGAUUUUAGGGCAUCCUAGAAUUAUGAAAGCUAUAUGCGCUGUGAGAGAGCUUUGCGUCCCAUUAGCUAGUUGGAGAGGUAACGGCUCACCAAGGCGAUGAUGGGUAGCCGGCCUGAGAGGGUGAACGGCCACAAGGGGACUGAGACACGGCCCUUACUCCUACGGGAGGCAGCAGUGGGGAAUAUUGGACAAUGGACCAAGAGUCUGAUCCAGCAAUUCUGUGUGCACGAUGAAGUUUUUCGGAAUGUAAAGUGCUUUCAGUUGGGAAGAAAAAAAUGACGGUACCAACAGAAGAAGUGACGGCUAAAUACGUGCCAGCAGCCGCGGUAAUACGUAUGUCACAAGCGUUAUCCGGAUUUAUUGGGCGUAAAGCGCGUCUAGGUGGUUAUGUAAGUCUGAUGUGAAAAUGCAGGGCUCAACUCUGUAUUGCGUUGGAAACUGUGUAGCUAGAGUACUGGAGAGGUAAGCGGAACUACAAGUGUAGAGGUGAAAUUCGUAGAUAUUUGUAGGAAUGCCGAUGGGGAAGCCAGCUUACUGGACAGAUNCUGACGCUGAAGCGCGAAAGCGUGGGUAGCAAACAGG
This 722-nucleotide ribosomal RNA is filed under the name uncultured Fusobacterium sp. Its description in RNAcentral is "bacterial SSU rRNA". It matches the Rfam family "Bacterial small subunit ribosomal RNA", at positions 28 to 776 of the family's 1533-position model. The record is from RNAcentral. Lineage: Bacteria; Fusobacteriati; Fusobacteriota; Fusobacteriia; Fusobacteriales; Fusobacteriaceae.